AAUUGCUAAUAUCCCAUAUAUCUCUCACUUUUACCCUACUUUUUCAAUGACAUUAAAUAUUAUAUAUUUAAAACAUUUUUGCUAAUCUGAGAAGUGAAAAACUAAAGUAUUUUAAUUUCAGGUUUAGCAGUUUUUCUGAAAGAUACAACCUAAGAAUUUAAAUGUGCUCACAAAAAUUUUACAUCUGGGAUUAUAAGUAUGGAUUACAGGUUAGUGGGCUCUCCAUAAGAACACAUAUUUUUGGCCAGAUGUGGUGGCUCAUGCCUGUAAUCCCAGUGCUUUGGGAUGCUGAGGUGGGCGGGUCACAAGGUCAGGAGUUCGAGACCAGCCUAGCCAAUACGGUGAAAUCCUGUCUCUACUAAAAAUAAAAAAAAUUAGCCAGGCGUGGUGGUGCACGCCUGUAGCCCCAGCUACUCAGGAGGCUGAGGCAGGAGAACUGCUUGAACCCAGGAGGCACAAAACUAUUCUCCUCUAUUUAUAUAGUUAUUCCAUAUAUGAGGCAGUCUUAUGAAACACGACAUUUAUUUAAUUUCUGUACUCUUUCAGAAAAAAAGAAAAGUGACAACUCCUCCUGCAUUUUUUGUAAGUGCAACAGUAAAUAUUUACAACUACAUUUACAAUAUUUAAACCAAAAUAUCCAGAUGGGAAUCCUGGGUAAAGAAGCUUUUUUACCUGGAACCAAACUCUCAUUGUAAAUCCAAGGAGGCAUUCUGGGCUGAGCAGGAUCCUGUGAGGGAAAUACUCCCACACCUAGAAGGUAAGAAACAUUAAUGUAUAUAGUGGUCCAUGGAGAAGAUGGCGAAAUCACACUGAGUCAUGGUUUUUUACAAAGAGCACUGGCUGGAGACACUAAAAAAAGUCACCAAUACAAUUAAAAUACUUGGUCCCCCCUGCCUCCGAUUCAGAAUAAAAUAUUUGGUUUUUAAGCAACUCUUGUACGUUAACUAUGUUCUAAAGAGUAAAUUAUACAAAAACUAAAAUGUAUCAAAUCAAUACUCUAAAUCAUAUAAGCCU
RNAcentral lists this long non-coding RNA (1014 nucleotides) under Homo sapiens (human). Its description in RNAcentral is "HSALNT0240085". Lineage: Eukaryota; Metazoa; Chordata; Mammalia; Primates; Hominidae. The record is from RNAcentral.